RNAcentral lists this unclassified non-coding RNA (421 nucleotides) under fungal sp. RNAcentral describes it as "partial internal transcribed spacer region". The stretch from base 1 to 46 matches the Rfam family "Eukaryotic small subunit ribosomal RNA", at positions 1786 to 1831 of the family's 1831-position model. Lineage: Eukaryota; Fungi. The record is from RNAcentral.
AAGUCGUAACAAGGUUUCCGUAGGUGAACCUGCGGAAGGAUCAUUAAUACGCUUUUGUUUGUAACAAAACAAAACGUUUUAAACUCCAAAAGAAAUAGUGGAAACUUAACUUCCGGUUGCGAAUGUUGGGGAACUGAGUAAAAUUGGUUCUUUGAAAAAGGGACUUCAAGUAAAAUUGACACUUCAGAGUAGAGCAGUGAGGUGAAAUUCUCUUUAUUGAGAGAGUUUGGUUCUGAAAAACAUUUGUAUCCGGUUAUCAUAAUCUGUUCUACAAACUCCAAAAUAUCAAACAAUAAACCCCAUGUACAACAACUUGAACUAAACAUUUUUUUGUUAUCCUUCUUGCACUUGUGUGAGAAGAUACUACGAAGAAAAAACCUGAACUUAAGAACAACUCUUAACAACGGAUAUCUUGGUUCUC